Molecule: ribosomal RNA, 116 nt
Filed under: Colletotrichum higginsianum
Lineage: Eukaryota; Fungi; Ascomycota; Sordariomycetes; Glomerellales; Glomerellaceae
Source: RNAcentral
ACGACCAUACCCAUUGGAGAACUCGGGAUCCCGUCCGCUCUCCCAUAGAUAAGCCAGUGAGGGCCGGAUUAGUAGUUGGGUCGGUGACGACCAGCGAAUACCUGGUGUUGUAUGUU